This 3407-nucleotide long non-coding RNA is filed under the name Brassica rapa (field mustard). Its description in RNAcentral is "long non-coding RNA (BRAP_LNC007983)". The record is from RNAcentral. Lineage: Eukaryota; Viridiplantae; Streptophyta; Magnoliopsida; Brassicales; Brassicaceae.
AAGAGGAGCCUAUCGCCACCAGCAUUGUAUCUUCUGCAUAUACCGAAAACGACAGAGUUAAUCCGGAUGUUCUGGUGUACACCGGUCAGGGAGGUCACGCUGAUAAAGAUAAAGAAGCAUCAGACCAGAAGCUGGAGAGAGGUAACCUCGCUUUGGAGAAGAGCUUGCAUAGGAACAAUGCGGUUAGGGUGAUCAGAGGCUUGAACUUGAAGGAAGCUACUCACAGGGUUAAGAUCUAUGUCUACGAUGGGAUCUACGAGAUCAAAGAGGCGUGGAUAGAGAAAGGCAAAUCAGGACACGACACCUUCAAGUAUAAGCUAGUGAGAGCUCCUAAUCAGCCUCCUGGUUUUGCUACGUGGACCGAGAUACAAAGUUGGAAGACUGGUAAGUCCCCAAGGAGAGGACUCAUCCUCCCUGAUCUCACUUCCGGCGUCGAAAGCGUAGCUGUCUCGCUUGUGAACGAAGUUGAUAGCGAGAAUGGUCCUUCUUACUUCACCUACUCCACAACGGUUAAAUACUCAAUGUCCUUUCAGCUGACGCAGCCUUCUAGCGGAUGCGGUUGCGGAAACAAAUGCAAGCCGGGGAACUUGGAAUGCCCCUGCAUAAGGAAGAACGGAGGCGAGUUUCCUUACACAGGGAAUGAUAUUUUAGUUAGCCGGAGGCCUAUGGUAUAUGAAUGCAGCCCUUCUUGCCCUUGCUUGACUUGUAAAAGCAAGGUGACUCAGAUGGGAGUGAAACUGAGGCUGGAGGUUUUCAAGACGGUGGAUAGAGGAUGGGGGUUACGCUCGUGGGAUCCUAUUCGCGCCGGUGCGUUUAUAUGUGUGUAUGCAGGUGAGGCCAGAGAUAAGUCGAAAGUGCAGCAGACGAUGGCUAACGAUGACUUUACGUUUGAUACAACGCGCGUUUACACCCCUUUUAAAUGGAACUAUGAGGCUGGCUUAGCGGACGAAGAUGCUUCCGAGGAGGUGUCUGAAGAACCUAUACUCCCUUUGCCUCUUAUAAUCAGUGCUAAGAAUAUUGGGAACGUUGCACGGUUCAUGAAUCACAGUUGCUCUCCUAAUGUUUUCUGGCAGCCGGUUAGUUAUGAGAAUAACGGUCAGCUCUACUUGCACGUCGCCUUCUUUGCUAUUUCACACAUCCCUCCCAUGACUGAGUUGACUUACGACUAUGGUGUUUCAAGACCAACGGGAGCUCAAAAUGGCAAUCCUGUGUAUGGUAAAAAGAGGUGCUUUUGCGGAACACAGUAUUGCCGUGGCUCAUUUGGUUGAUGCCAACGUGUAAAAGGUUUGUUUCUCUGAGCUUUUUGUUAUUUAUUGAAUCUAUAUUCAUUAUCUGAUUACAGGUAGUGGAAGUGACUGCUUUUGGUUUACAGGUAAAGUGUUUAAAGUCUUCUUCUCUUCAACGGCAUAAGACGCAAAGCUGUGAUGGAUUCUUUCCUGCUUCUUCUCCAUCAAAGUCUUUAUCUAUUUCUCUGAUCCUAGGAAAUGUAUCCUUCUCUCCUGUUGGAUAUGUGAUCUUAUUAGUAUUUUUUUUUCAGAUUGUUUUUAGGACAAAACCUAUGGGAAGUUGGGAAACUAGUAGCCUAUCUUUGUUUGAUUAAAAGAUUUGAUGAAUAUGAUAAUCAGUUUUAACAGUUUAUCUGUCUUAUGCAAUGACAACUAUAAACAGCUUCUUGUACAGACCACCACCACUACACACUAAAAACAGUACAACUAACAUGUUUACAAAUCGGUUAAUAUGAUUAGUAAGUUCAGCUUGGUGAUUCUAAAACUAAAGAAAGAAUCAUUUGGACCUCAAAGACUGAGAGCUACAGCCAUCUUUACACACGUGUGAAAAACCAAACCGGCAACCGACAAAAGCUCCAAAAAGGCGUUACAUCACGAAAAGAAGGAAUGCAAGUAAAACUACAAAGGACGAAACUGAAACCUCCUACGUAGGUAAUCCCAGUCAUAUUAGAUCAUCGUACGGCUCAAGAUCAAAUGAUUUAGAUCCAACGGUUAAAAUCUUAUCGGCUUCUUCUCCAACUGUUACAGAUGUAGAGUGAAAAAAUCACACAGAUGUUAAUUAAUAUUAGUAAUUUCUUACCAAAGCUGGAAACUUUAUGCUCUAAUCUUCUUCCCUCUCGCUCUUCCCCUGUCUCUCUCGUUUCGGAAACCCUAAAUCUGACGGAGCAUUUCGAUCUCCAAGUCCCCAAAUUUUCAGGUUUUUUUUUCCUAAAGUUAUAAGCUUUCUGUGUUAUUGUUAUUGUACAUCUUUGAAUCUGCGAUGAAUGAUGUGUUGAGGGUCCUCUGUUCUUUAGUCAGUAGGCUAGAUUAAUCUGCUAAAGACUGUUCAUUUUCUCCAUUUGCAUAGAAAAAAUCAGAUCUUUUUAUUAAUUUGGUAAAUUUUGAUUGUUCAGCUUACUAUGGAAGGAAACUUCGGAAGCUACACUGACAAGACUCGAGUGUUGGAUAUCAAACCGUUGCGCACUCUCAGACCUGUCUUCCCAAGUGGGAACCAAGCUCCUCCUUUUGUCUGCGCACCUCCUUUUGGUCCGUUCCCUCCUGGCUUCUCUCCUUUCUACCCCUUUAGCUCCUCUCAACACACUCCAGAUCUCAACCAAGCUCAGAAUCCACCUCAGCAUCAGCCUCAUAACAGCUCAGAGCCUUCGUUGGUUACUCCUCUGAGGACAUUCAGGUCUCCUCCUGAUACCACAACAUCCAAUGGCGACGUGGAGCCUUCAACUGUGAAGAGAAAGAUCACUAAAAAGCGUACUCCUCUCGUUUGCCCUGAGAAUUUCUCGAGUGGGAUCAGCGUGGCUGAUAGAGAGAAUGGGAACAGGAAGCUGGUGACGAGUGUGAUCAUGCGGUUUGACGCGUUGAGAAGAAGGUUUUCGCAGCUGGAAGAUGCUAAGGAAGCGGUUAGUGGGUCUAUCAAACGUGGUGAUUUGAAAGCAGGAUCCACUUGUAUGAGCAGAGGUGUCAGGACCAACACUAAAAAAAGACCUGGUGUUGUUCCUGGUGUUGAGAUUGGUGACGUGUUCUUCUUCAGGUUCGAGAUGUGUUUGGUUGGGUUGCAUUCUCCGUCGAUGGCUGGGAUUGACUAUCUACUCGUCAAGGGAGGGGGAGAAACAGGAGAAGAGCCUAUCGCCACUAGCAUUGUCUCAUCUGGUUACUAUGAUAAUGAUGAAGGUAAUCCUGAUGUUUUGGUUUAUACCGGUCAGGGCGGUGGGAACGCUGAUAAAGAGAAGCAAACGUCUGACCAGAAGCUUGAGAGAGGUAACCUUGCGUUGGAGAAGAGUUUGCUUAGGAACAGUCCGGUGAGGGUGAUAAGAGGGUUGAAAGAGGCUUCUCAGAGUGCUAAGAUCUAUGUUUACGAUGGGCUUUAUGAGAUCAAAGAGUCUUGGGUGGAGAAAGGGAAGUUAGGAC